RNAcentral lists this ribosomal RNA (406 nucleotides) under uncultured bacterium. RNAcentral's name for it is "partial 16S ribosomal RNA". It matches the Rfam family "Bacterial small subunit ribosomal RNA", at positions 29 to 526 of the family's 1533-position model. The record is from RNAcentral.
AUUGAACGCUGGCGGCAGGCCUAACACAUGCAAGUCGAACGAGUGGCGGACGGGUGAGUAAUGUCUGGGAAACUGCCUGAUGGAGGGGGAUAACUACUGGAAACGGUAGCUAAUACCGCAUACCAUCGGAUGUGCCCAGAUGGGAUUAGCUAGUAGGUGGGGUAAAGGCUCACCUAGGCGACGAUCCCUAGCUGGUCUGAGAGGAUGACCAGGCACACUGGAAGUGAGGCACGGUCCAAAACACUAAGGGAGGGAGCAGUGGGGAAUAUUGGCAAAAGGGCGCAAGCCUGGUGCAGCCAUGCCGGGGUGAAUAAGAAGGCCUUCGGGUUGGAAAGUACGUUCAGCGGGGAGGCGUUACCCGCAGAAGAAGCACCGGCUAACUCCGUGCCAGCAGCCGCGGUAAUUC